GCUGCCUCCAGGUAUCCAGCUCUCAUGCCAUGAUGCCGAGUUGAAGGUAAUUUUGUAAGAGGUAUAAGAAAAAGUGCGCACACUGUGCUUGUUAUAAUAAUCUAGGAAACUAUAAAAUCCUGACUUCUGCUUUUACAACUGACCACAAUAGCCGUGUUGUCAUGUCACCUGCACUGAAAUACUCCUGUUGUCAAAGAUUAAAAAAACUGCAAUAUCGAAGAAUUUUUUCCUUCCUUCUGCUGAGUGUUUCUCUCCAGUGAAGAAUGUGGAAAACAUCUAAAAUUUUUUUAUGCAAGAAAUAGAUAUUCCACCAGAAGAACUCCAUUGGAACACAAGAAACCUCCUACAAAAAUUUGCAGUAAAACUUUUAACAGUUGUCCCAGCAGCAAUUCAGGAUGCACAGGAUAUCAGGAUGCACAAGACUAGAUGGCCCAUGUUAAAGGGGGAGGAAGAAAAGAGAGGGUUCUCCCUCCUUGGCAGAGCUGCUCAAGGACCGCAGACUUGGCAGUGGUAAUGCAGAGCUGUCGUCCCUGCAGGUCUCCAGGGACCUUCCCUGGCACUUUGCCCAGCUCUGGGCACCAGGUGCUCUGGUGGGGAGAAGAGCUCUUCCAAGGAAAUUUUGGGUGUAUUGUGCAGUCCCGUAGAGUGCAAUACAGUGAUACUUGACCACACUGGGAGACAGAGAUAACUCAUCCUCCUCUAACCAGCCCUAAAUUAGUCAGGCACAGCAUUGCACCUGCAGAAACAUCAUUGCUUCCAGGGCUAGAGUGAGAGCCCCUGCACUAUGUGGAGUAUCUAAAUAGGUAGACACUGCUGCCUUGUGCCGCAGAGAUUCUCUGACUUUGCACAAAUUGGACACGCUUGAGACUCAAAGUAAAAGCACAGCAAGAUUCUGCCUUUAUAACAACAGUGUUUAUGGGGUUCAGAUUCUCAAGUUUCACAGAGAUUUUGGGCAUUUUGAAAAUUUUCUUAAAAAUAUCCCAAGUGUCUGCAUGGAAUAAGUUUCCAAAAUACAACAAGCUAGAAGAAAUUUGAAAAUCUUCCUCAGCUGCUGUUGUGCUUCCUUAUGAGAAAGCCCAAAUCCCAAAGGAGAAGCGGUACAUGGUGUCUCAUAGUAUACGUUGCAUAGUCUAUGUGUAUAGCUACCUCUGACCGAAAAAUGGGUUUUUAAAAUCACUGGAUAUCAGGAAAUAAACAGUUCAGAGAUGUUCAAUCUUCA
This is a long non-coding RNA of Hirundo rustica (Barn swallow), 1219 nucleotides long. RefSeq lists it as uncharacterized. Lineage: Eukaryota; Metazoa; Chordata; Aves; Passeriformes; Hirundinidae. The transcript has 6 exons. The record is from RefSeq and is a predicted model, not a curated record.